RNAcentral lists this ribosomal RNA (116 nucleotides) under Cronobacter sakazakii. RNAcentral's name for it is "partial 16S ribosomal RNA". It matches the Rfam family "Bacterial small subunit ribosomal RNA", at positions 1427 to 1533 of the family's 1533-position model. Lineage: Bacteria; Pseudomonadati; Pseudomonadota; Gammaproteobacteria; Enterobacterales; Enterobacteriaceae. The record is from RNAcentral.
UAGGUAGCUUAACCUUCGGGAGGGCGCUUACCACUUUGUGAUUCAUGACUGGGGUGAAGUCGUAACAAGGUAACCGUAGGGGAACCUGCGGUUGGAUCACCUCCUUACCUGCAAGA